This is a non-coding RNA of Acanthosepion pharaonis, 111 nucleotides long. The record is from the annotation of a GenBank genome assembly. NCBI's taxonomy places the organism in Eukaryota, Metazoa, Mollusca, Cephalopoda, Sepiida, Sepiidae.
UAUGGCCAUAUCACAUUGAAAUACCUAUUCGUACGAUCACCGAAGUGAAGCAACGUCAAGUCUGGUCAGUACCUAGAUGGGUGACCGCUUAGGAAUGCCAAGUACUGUAAG